Molecule: long non-coding RNA, 4199 nt
Organism: Drosophila guanche
Lineage: Eukaryota; Metazoa; Arthropoda; Insecta; Diptera; Drosophilidae
Exons: 3
Source: RefSeq, a predicted model, not a curated record
AGUUUCCAUGCCCCCUGGAUUGUCAUUGGUGCUGCAGUUUCAUUUUGUGACCGACACUAACGGGUAAUACCUGGCCGCAGGACUCUACUCGUUUUUGCGAUCACAAUACUGAAAUUGCAGCAAAGAGCAGCGACAAAUGGUGUAAAAACAAUCUGAAAAGUGAUGUGAUUAAGGGAAAAACCUACUGAAGUACAACUGCUACAAAUUAGAUUAACUAAUUAGUGAUCAGCGACUGAAUACUGACCCCAAUGUGAACAGAUUGAUAGAUACGGUACGGAAAUGUCACAGGAAUGCGUACUGAAAUUAUUUACGGAUGUCGCAAUAUCAAGAAGAGGCAAAUGGAAUUUCUGUUGUGCAUAAUCUCGUACGAAUACACGAAAAUUCUCUUUGAUAGAUAAGUUCAGUCAGUCAGUCAGCUGUCGAAGGUUGAAGGUUGAAGGUACCAAAAAGCAGGAAAACUUCACUCAAUAUCCUGCUCAUUAUUUCCCUCAGGCUUAUUCUGCUACGAUGGUGGAUGGCUGGGAAAUAACAAAUUGGGUUUGUUUUUCCAGGAACUCCAGCAGCAGCUGUGUAACCUGGGUAGGUUGAUGGCUGCUUGAUAUGCAUUGUAAAUGGAAAUUUUUCGUCACAAAUAGUGGCCCAAAAACAUGAAACGAACAGAGGGACGUCCGUCCCUCACAUGUACACGCACUUGUGGUACGUGGAGACGGGCAGGCGGAACACAUAAACAUGUCAGGAUACGUUGUGUGUGUCUAGCAGAUACAUUUACAUUUCCCCAUAACACCAUAACAACCAGCGACAUUUGUGCGUGGCUCGUUUUGUAUUCUGCUUUGGUGCCAGCGCCCAAAGAGCAGCUAUCCGGUCGGGCAAUGCUGGGAAUUAGUUCGCUUCUGGACCUGUCACACUCUGCUUUAGUUAUUAUUUAUAUUUGUGGCUCCUUUUGCCCCAAAAAACUCUGUCCGCAAGUGUCAGUUAGUCCUGUGGAAAUCCGACAAUCGUGGAGCCUCGUUAUGGCUUCCCACUUUCACUCUCCUUCAGCGAUUUGUAUUGAUUUUUGCUGCGAUAUUAACAUUCGAAAUGUUUGGCAUUUCUUGAUGACUUUCUUUAUGUGUCUGAUGGCUGCUGAUUGUCCAAACUGCCUUAUUGUGGGUUAAUAGAGCGAAAAGGCAUUUACUGGUUAAACGUGUUCCACUUAAGCCCUUGAGGUGACGGGAAUUAAAGUUUAAAAUUGAUUUGUGCUUGUACCAGGAAAUCUGCUCUAAAGUUUUAUUGCAGAAAAUGGAGCAUGCCAAGCCGGAGAUUUCUUGCAGAGCUGAAGCUGGUGCCGGAUAUUCUCCUUCUCGGAAAAGAGUUAAUCCUCAGUUAAUUAAGCCAAGCGGCCACAGUUUCCUGGAAGCAGCCUCGCAAACGGUAUGGAAUGUUCUUUGGAAUAUGGAAAGCGUUUUGAAAAUCGACUGGAAUGUUCCCGACACUAAACUAAAGACUCCCUAAAGCCUAAGUGAUAAAACAAAUCCCACUUGGGGCACAUAGCAGCCACUGUUGUGGGUCUUAAGUGGCCCUGUCAAUUAACGGCAAAGUUUUGGUUGCCAAAACAGCGAACGCGAUAAUGGGGCCAAGCCUCAUUAGGCUCUGCCUUCAGCAGCGUGAGUUCAGUCUAACUACCGCCAUAUCAGAUUGGAUUACGCAACGAAAGAUUAGCUACAGCUUGGGGUAGGGAGAGGCCUUGAAAAUAGUCUUCCUAUAAGAUUUAAGAUUUACUUUGGAGCAAAAUAGGAGCUGUAUGGAUCGAUUUAAUACGUUAUUCCUUCUGGUAACAAAACACCAAUCAAAUGCCUUAAAUGUAGGCCCAGGCUUUUGUUUCGCAUCAUUCAUGGAUUAUUCAUUUGGAAAUUAGUGUUUGUGUCCCACGAAUGGUUAUGCCACUCAAUUAUGCAAAAGACAGCAGGCAAAAACGUGCCAAAAGCCAUCGAUAGAGACAGCGGCUGUGGGUGGUGAAAACAAAGAGAAAGACACAGAUACAGAUACAGAUUUCAGAUACAAUUACAAUUUGCCAUUGUUUUGGCAGCCUGGCAGCAGUCGGCAGGCAGGCAGUGCCGGUCGUACAAUUUCAAUCAGAAUUAAUUUGGGUAGCCCUGCCCUCGGCAGCACUGGCUGUCAAAUCGGUAAUUGUGAUGACUGCCAUUCGGGAUAACUCUUAGAUACAUUCAUUAUAGCAGCUACUGAUGAGCCGAGUAGUUCCCCCUUAUAGUGGAGAAUAAAAUAAGCCUUUCUGGAGUGAUCUCUAUGCUCUGUACAUGUUUAAAAAUGCAUCAACAGCUUAGCGAAAUUGUUGUCUAAUGGGCCCCACCUGGGACUACAUGUAUCUCUGUCUUUAUGUCUCCACGUGGAGCUCUACUCCUGCGUGUGCGGCUGCCUUGUGGGUACUUCCCACCGCUCGCACUUUUCUUUGCAGCUAAAGAGACGGCAACUGUCUGUUUGACCCAGUUUCGAGGCUGUCUUGUCUACGUCUACUUCUGGUGACCCGGUUAAUUAUUCCCAGCCAUUAAGGGUAGUGCACUACUCCAAGCAUUUUCACUGGAAAAUUUUAGCUGCAAUUUGUUUUAAUUUCACUUAAAGACAACUUUAUAAUGACUGGGAAAAUGUGCAGCAGUGAGUCCUGUCUGCAAUAAAUAUUCUGCCUUCUUUUGCUCCGAAAUUUGUUUUAGAAGUGAGCUUUUGGGUGUAAGAUAACAAAACUUGUACUAGCUCAUAUAAAAUCUUAAUAUAAUGCUGGAGCAAGCAGCGGAAUCAGACUUCAACUCAAAUUAGCUUGCGGAAAAGGAUGACCUAAGUAACUAUGCAACGGGCAGGGCGCAGCAGAAAUCAGUUGUAGGCACCCAUAACAAUGUUUUAUCCAUGGCACAAAAUGCUGAAUAAUUUUGACAUGCGUUCAUACUAAUUAUAUUUAUGCGAGCCAUAGAACAAUAUCUGUUGAGUAGAGUAAAAAUAUUAACCACUAACAACGGCACCUUAUGCCAAAUAAAUUCUUCUUAAAUAACAUCAAAUAUUUCCAUAAUCUUGCAGCUUGUCCAACAACCUACAGAACACACUCCUCCACAGUAAAGUAUAAUCUUUCCCUUACUGUGUGCACUUUAGCUGGCAUUUAGAGUUGGAUGCCACUUUCCAUUGGACCACAGGAAGCCCACGCAACGCAGCUGCCACAAAGCCCGCGUGGCCCUGAAGUAAUGCUCAUCUGCACGUGGGCGCCUGGCUGGAUGCUGAUGUUUCUAUGGGGACGAAGCUGCUGCGCUGCGCACAUCAUCGGCAACUUAAUUGACGUUAAGCUGCUCCGCACAUGCUCCGAGACAGUGUGUGUUCCCUGUGUUCGGCCCCCAGCCGCACAUCUCCGUGGCAGCCAUCAAAUGCAAUUAAAAUUGAAUUUCAUUCCCCCCACUCACUUUAUGCAUGUGGAAGCCUUACGGCAGCCAGAUAUUAUAUACCAUGAUGCUGGGAGCUCAGCCAUGAGCCUGAACAUGUGUCUAGGUUGCACCCUAAGCACGAGGCUCUCCCAGCCCAGCUCUGCUGUGGCUGCAAGCUGACCAGCGUCCAGGCUCUAAUCACUGAGAAGUGCUCCGAUCCGAGUGCACUUCCAUGCGGUUGCACACUCGUCGCCCUCGCUCUUUUUAAAUACUCUUGUGGUCCGGUCCGGCUGGGUCCGACUGCCCUUGCCUUUGGCAAGUUCAGGUUCAGGGUCGCUGUCGUAGCUGCCGUGCGGCAAAAACAGCGACCAGCUGACGGUUGAUUGACAAGUUGGCCAAAUGGGAAGUCGUCUCGGAAAGGGGAACAGUGCGUGCGCGUGAGCUUUUAUAAAAAUAUCUACAGUUAAUUAACAAUUUCGCAAAGAAAAGCGUGCGACGGGCGACAAAGCAGAGCACAGCGGAGGCCCGAGCGAGCACCUUGAAAAAUGUAUGUGUAAUUUAAUGAACACGACACCCCGUCGGGUGCGCUCCUUCUGUCCGCCCCUCCCGCUCUUGUGCGGAAUGGCAGCUGCGGACUGCCAGGGAGAUUUAUCAAUUGCUUGGCGCUCGCACAGACAAGCGCAGGUCUGAAUAAGAUGAAUUUGGUGUCAUGGCAUGCAGGAAUUUUAGCCAUCGCGGAGGCACAACCCUGCCUAGAGAUAUGAGACACGGGUUCAACAUCAUUUACAUUGGAACGGAACU